AGGGUUUGAUCAUGGCUCAGGAUGAACGCUAGCGGCAGGCUUAACACAUGCAAGUCGAGGGGUAGAUUUUCUUCGGAGAAUUGAGACCGGCGCACGGGUGCGUAACGCGUAUGCAACUUACCUUAUACUGGGGGAUAGCCCGGAGAAAUUCGGAUUAAUACCGCAUAUGCUCACAGUUUCGCAUGGAACAGUGAGGAAAGAUUUAUCGGUAUAAGAUAGGCAUGCGUCCUAUUAGCUUGUUGGUGAGGUAACGGCUCACCAAGGCGAUGAUAGGUAGGGGGCCUGAGAGGGUGGUCCCCCACACUGGUACUGAGACACGGACCAGACUCCUACGGAAGGCAGCAGUGAGGAAUAUUGGGCAAUGGAGGCAACUCUGACCCAGCCUAUGCCGCGUGAAGGAUGAAGGUCCUCUGGAUUGUAAACUUCUUUUGUAUGGGGAUAAACUUUUCUACGUGUAGAAAACUGAAGGUACCAUACGAAUAAGGAUCGGCUAACUCCGUGCCAGCAGCCGCGGUAAUACGGAGGAUCCAAGCGUUAUCCGGAUUUCUUGGGUUUAAAGGGUCC
This 564-nucleotide ribosomal RNA is filed under the name uncultured Flavobacteriia bacterium. RNAcentral's name for it is "bacterial SSU rRNA". It matches the Rfam family "Bacterial small subunit ribosomal RNA", at positions 8 to 570 of the family's 1533-position model. Lineage: Bacteria; Pseudomonadati; Bacteroidota; Flavobacteriia. The record is from RNAcentral.